This 412-nucleotide ribosomal RNA is filed under the name uncultured bacterium. Its description in RNAcentral is "bacterial SSU rRNA". It matches the Rfam family "Bacterial small subunit ribosomal RNA", at positions 541 to 952 of the family's 1533-position model. The record is from RNAcentral.
UUGUCCGGAAUUACUGGGUGUAAAGGGAGUGUAGGCGGGAUAUCAAGUCAGAAGUGAAAAUUACGGGCUCAACUCGUAACCUGCUUUUGAAACUGACAUUCUUGAGUGAAGUAGAGGCAAGCGGAAUUCCUAGUGUAGCGGUGAAAUGCGUAGAUAUUAGGAGGAACACCAGUGGCGAAGGUGGCUUGCUGGGCUUUUACUGACGCUGAGGCUCGAAAGCGUGGGGAGCAAACAGGAUUAGAUACCCUGGUAGUCCACGCCGUAAACGAUGAUUACUAGGUGUGGGGGGAUUGACCCCUUCCGUGCCGGAGUAAACACAAUAAGUAAUCCACCUGGGGAGUACGACCGCAAGGUUGAAACUCAAAGGAAUUGACGGGGGCCCGCACAAGCAGUGGAGUAUGUGGUUUAAUUC